UCGCUCUUCAACGAGGAAUCCCUAGUAAGCACAAGUCAUCAGCUUGUGUUGAUUACGUCCCUGCCCUUUGUACACACCGCCCGUCGCUACUACCGAUUGAAUGGCUUAGUGAGACCUUCGGAUUGGCAUUUGGAAGUUGGCAACAGCCUCUGUUUGCUGAGAAGUUGGUCAAACUUGGUCAUUUAGAGGAAGUAAAAGUCGUAACAAGGUUUCCGUAGGUGAACCUGCGGAAGGAUCAUUAAUGAUUUUUAAAGCAAACCUUUUUUUUUUAAUAAAAAAGUAGUUUGCGAACAUAUUUAAAACCCCACUCUUUUAAAAAAAAUUCUUAUUCAUAUUCAUGAAUAAAAAAAGAUCACUUUCAACAACGGAUCUCUUGGCUCUCGCAUCGAUGAAGAACGCAGCGAAAUGCGAUAAGUAGUGUGAAUUGCAGAUGUAUACGUGAAUCAUCGAAUCUUUGAACGCAAAUUGCACUCCCUGGUAUUCCGGGGAGUAUGCCUGUUUGAGGGUCGCCUAAAUAACAACAUCGAUUAGCGUUGCCUUUCUUUCGAAAGGUAAUGUUUUAUCGGAUUUGAGCCUUCUUUAUCAUUCUUUAACGAGAAACGAAGUGGCUUAAAAUUCAUUUUUUUUUGGUAUCAUCGAAAACGUAUUUUACGAUCAAUUUUUGAUUCAAGGAAACGUUUCGGAUGCCACCCUUUUUAAAUGUAAUACGUUUUGACUAUGUGAAAUCUAGUUCAAUUCGUAUACGAUUCUUUUUCAUUUUUUGACCUCAAAUCACGUAAGAGUACCCGCUGAACUUAAGCAUAUCAAUAAGCGGAGGAAAAGAAAAUAACAAUGAUUCCCUUAGUAACUGCGAGUGAAGAGGGAUAAGCUCAAAUUUUAAAUCUGUUUGGUCCUACUGAACAGAGUUGUAAUUUGGAGAAACGUUUCUGCGUCUCGAGUUAAUCAAAAUCCUCUGGAAUGGGGUAUCAUGGAGGGUGACAAUCCCGUUCAUGGUUAAUUCUCGGAUGCUUUAUGAUACGUUUUCGAAGAGUCGAGUUGUUUGGGAUUGCAGCUCAAAAUGGGAGGUAAAUUUCUCCUAAAGCUAAAUAUUGGCGAGAGACCGAUAGCGAACAAGUACCGUGAGGGAAAGAUGAAAAGAACUUUGAAAAGAGAGUUAAAUAGUACGUGAAAUUGUUGAAAGGGAAACGAUUGAAGUCAGUCGUACCAACGGGAAAUCAACCUUUCGAGCGGGGUUUUGGGAUUUCAAAGAGUUUCAAAGCCUUUGGGGUUUCAAAAUUUCUUCUCUUCUGGUGUACUUUCUCGUAGGUAGGUCAACAUCGAUUUUGAACAUCAUAAAAAGACUGGAGGAAUGUAGCUUCGAUCUCGUAUUGAAGUGUUAUAGACUUUGGUAAAUGUGAUGAUCAAGAUCGAGGAUUGCAACGAAUAUCCUUUUGGGCUAUUCGUCUGAUCUCUGAUCAUUGCCUUGGUAUCGAAAGCUUGCUUAUGAUAUUAAGGUAUUAUGGUCAAAAGGUUAGAACGGAUUACAUUCGUUAAGGAUGUUGACGUAAUGGCUUUAAACGACCCGUCUUGAAACACGGACCAAGGAGUCUAACAUAUGUGCGAGUGUUU
Molecule: ribosomal RNA, 1608 nt
Filed under: uncultured Glomus
Lineage: Eukaryota; Fungi; Glomeromycota; Glomeromycetes; Glomerales; Glomeraceae
Description: eukaryotic LSU rRNA
Rfam family: Eukaryotic large subunit ribosomal RNA (bases 762-1608)
Source: RNAcentral